Molecule: RNA transcript, 2605 nt
Organism: Pezoporus occidentalis (night parrot)
Lineage: Eukaryota; Metazoa; Chordata; Aves; Psittaciformes; Psittacidae
Gene: ASCC1
Gene name: activating signal cointegrator 1 complex subunit 1
Exons: 12
Source: RefSeq, a predicted model, not a curated record
CGGCCGCCGAGAAGUUAACUGCCUCUGUAGCGCCAUAGCGCAUGCGCCGCCCGCCCCGGGCUCCACCCCCCACCCUCUGCCAGGAUGGCCCCUCCCCGGCUUCCGUAGCGAGCAGCUUCCCGGAGGAGGAGCAGGAUGGACGUUCUGCGGCCCACCCUGAUAAGGAUUGAGGGGCGGGUGUAUAGGAAGAAUGCCAUUCAAGAGCAGGCCUACCAGCAUGAAGAGGAGGAUGAUUUCUGUGCAGGCCCUGGUGACUGUGCAGAUGAGCCCUGUGAUGCCUUUGUGGUGGAAGAGACUGAGAAAGGCUUCCAGUGCAGACUGGAGGUUCCCAGCCUGUUAUACAAGUACAUCAUCGGGAAGAAAGGGGAAACCAAGAAAAGACUAGAAGCAGAGACUCGAACCUCCAUCAGCAUUCCCAAGCUUGGAGUGGAAGGAGAAAUUGUGAUUACUGGGCAGCAUCGCAGUGGUGUCAUCUCUGCCCGAACGCGGAUUGAUGUUCUCCUGGACAGCUUCCGUAAGAAGCAGCCCUUCACACACUUCCUGUCUUUGGCUCUCAACCAGCCCACCAUCCAGGAGAAGUUCCUGCAGUUCAAGGAAGAGGUGUUGGAGAAAUGCUCAAAGGAUCACGGGGUCAGCAGCAGCCUGUUCCAGAACCCUUCUAAGCUUCACCUGACUCUUGGGACGCUGGUACUUCUGAAUGAACAAGAGAUCCAGAAAGCAUGUGACCUCCUACAGCAAUGCAAAGAGGACUUUGUGGACCAAAUUGCUGGAGGCAAGCCCUUGACUGUGGAAGUGGUAGGAGUGGAGUACAUGAACGAUGACCCUGCCAUGACAGACGUCCUUUAUGCCAAAGUCCACAUGAAGGAUGGCUCGGACAGAUUGCAGGUGAUUGCUGAUCAACUGGUGGAGCGGUUUGUGGCCUCCGGCUUGAUGCUUAAAGAGUGGGAUAGGGUGAAACUGCAUGCUACAGUCAUGAACACUCUCUUCAGGAAAGAUCCAAGUGCUGAAGAGCGAAACAAUACAAUGACUGGUAAAUCAUCUUUCAAGGAGCGAGAGUCAUUUAAUGGCCGAAAUAUCCUCAAGCGGGUACUUGGGAUUUUGUUUGCUUCGCUUCUCUGAAGGGGAUAACAACAGCAUAGCAUGCUGAUUUCCCAUGGAAAAGGACUGUCCAUCCCUCCCAGCUUUCUGAGUUUGUUCGUUCAUUCACCACUGCUCCUGAUCAAGACAUGCCAGGGGUAGCAGAUGCUGCUGGGUGAGUUGGUGACUGUUGUAACUGUGUGCAGAGCAGGCAAAGCUGUAAAGCCUGCAGCUCCUCCGAAGCUUGAGUUUAAUCUCGUUUGAGCUCUUUCGGUUCUGCUCUCUGCUGCUGGACCCUGAUUCCUGGUGCGAUCUUGCAGAGCCACAGUGCUGGGUUGCGUGUCAGAAGUGAUCCUCCUGCACAUGUUCUGCCACGGACGCAGAGACAAGUGGUGAUCAGCCUGUUUGUAGGACUUCCUGGAGGGGAUCUUUUGGUGGAUAAACACCUUCAACCCAGGUGAAACAGAGGAGAAGGGAUUGCUGGUGUCCCAUGCUCAGUGUAGACUGUGCAGCAGGAAUGACAGUGAGCUCGGCUGCAGCCAUAGGUUCCUGGAGCUACUGGAUUAAUCAGCAGAGACAUGCCUCCAGGUCCCUGAGUUGGCUUGCUUUCAUUAAUUUGCACUCAGGUCUUUGCUGAACAAAGAAGGAUUUGUUGAACAAAGUGGGGUCAGUACUGGGAUGAAGAACCUUGCACCUCUAGCCUGCUAGCUUGAGUUAGAACUGAGCCAUAACUGUUAAGUCGUACGUCCUGUGGCUUUGUAAAAACACCCUGGCCUCAAUCCCUGCUCCUGUGGAGCCUACAACCUGAAGAGACACCUGGGAGUGAUGGCCUUCAGGCUGGUCAGUAGCUUCCCCAAGCUCCCUAAAUGAGGCACAGUCAGAAAGCAAGCUCUUCGAGAACUUCUACUUUGGAGAGGUGCAGCUGGACUCAGUGCGACUUUCCCAGAGGUUCUCCUCAGAUGCCUCUGGCUACUAUGCAACAUCUGGGCAGCUGAUGUUCUGAAGCGGCAAUGUGGUUACUGCAGCAGGUUCACUCUGUGCAGAGGCACAUGUUCUUCAGUGAAAUGUUUUUAUGGGACACAAAUUUUGGAUAGGAACCUGGGAACUCCGUUAGGAAUGCCUCGUCACUCCUUGAAAGCACACUGCAGCUGGGGACCAUGGCAUUCCCCCGGAGCUUUUCCUACACAUACUGCUUGCGCUCCCUUGCAGGGGAACAGGGAUCCUUCCACCUCCUUUCCCCAUUGGUAGUGGAAAUGUUGCAAAGGUGCCCAUGUGAUGUCUGUGGCCUGUUCGUUUUCCAAGAAAACAACUAGAAAAACUGGUGCAGGUGGCUUUUGGGGCAUCACUGGUGUUUAAGCAUAGCUUUCUUUCAGAAGAAGGGAGUUUGUUCUUGAAAUAAGUAUUUAAAAUCCAAGAUUGAUCCCUGGAGCAUGAUUUAAGGAUAUUGAGGUCAAGCAUUGCUUGGAUCUCCAGCAGUGUGCCUGUGUGAUGUAGAUCUCCAAAUAAAGUAAUUCCCUUCAAAAGCAAA